UCACCCCUCAAGCCCCCGGCUUGGUGUUGGACUCAGUCGUCGCUCGCCCGGUGACUGGUCUCGAAGACAGUGACGCCGUCCCAGAGGGAACCGGUACGAGGAGCUUUCUUAACCGAAGCAUGUGCCGGGAAGACUCUUGCGGGCGGCGAUCUCUUGCACCCACAAAUUUUUCAAG
RNAcentral lists this unclassified non-coding RNA (175 nucleotides) under uncultured Cladophialophora. RNAcentral describes it as "sequence contains ITS2". Lineage: Eukaryota; Fungi; Ascomycota; Eurotiomycetes; Chaetothyriales; Herpotrichiellaceae. The record is from RNAcentral.